This 253-nucleotide ribosomal RNA is filed under the name uncultured bacterium. RNAcentral describes it as "partial 16S ribosomal RNA". It matches the Rfam family "Bacterial small subunit ribosomal RNA", at positions 524 to 776 of the family's 1533-position model. The record is from RNAcentral.
UACGUAGGGUGCAAGCGUUGUCCGGAAUUAUUGGGCGUAAAGAGCUCGUAGGCGGCUUGUCGCGUCGACCGUGAAAACUUGGGGCUCAACCCCAAGCCUGCGGUCGAUACGGGCAGGCUCGAGUUCGGUAGGGGAGACUGGAAUUCCUGGUGUAGCAGUGAAAUGCGUAGAUAUCAGGAGGAAUACCGAUGGCGAAGGCAGGUCUCUGGGCUGACACUGACGCUCAUGCACGAAAGCGUGGGGAGCAAACAGG